GUAGGGGGCAAGCGUUAUCCGGAUUUACUGGGUGUAAAGGGAGCGUAGACGGAAUGGCAAGUCUGAUGUGAAAGGCCGGGGCUCAACCCCGGGACUGCAUUGGAAACUGUCAAUCUAGAGUACCGGAGGGGUAAGUGGAAUUCCUAGUGUAGCGGUGGAAUGCGUAGAUAUUAGGAGGAACACCAGUGGCGAAGGCGGCUUACUGGACGGUAACUGACGUUGAGGCUCGAAAGCGUGGGGAGCAAACAGGAUUAGAUACCCUGGUAGUCCACGCCGUAAACGUUGAAUACUAGGUGUUGGGGAGCAAAGCUCUUCGGUGCCGCAGCAAACGCAAUAAGUAUUCCACCUGGGGAGUACGUUCGCAAGAAUG
RNAcentral lists this ribosomal RNA (370 nucleotides) under uncultured bacterium. RNAcentral's name for it is "bacterial SSU rRNA". It matches the Rfam family "Bacterial small subunit ribosomal RNA", at positions 527 to 896 of the family's 1533-position model. The record is from RNAcentral.